This is a non-coding RNA of Chlorocebus sabaeus (green monkey), 1150 nucleotides long. NCBI's taxonomy places the organism in Eukaryota, Metazoa, Chordata, Mammalia, Primates, Cercopithecidae. The record is from RefSeq and is a predicted model, not a curated record.
CUGAACUUUCCAUUACAAGCACCCUCAGGUUUUAAUUAAGAUCAAGUCUCUUUUUUUCCCACCUCAAACAUGGUUUUCCUGAGCAGCACAGGUGGCCACAGAAAUCACUUGGAAUUGGCCUUGGAACUUGUUUAAUGUCACUGCCUAAUCACUUUGCUAAACGUCACUGAUCCAAAGCAUUAAUUUUUAUCUUAAGUUUCUACCCUGGUUCUCUUUCCUUCCAUGUAGGACACCCUCAACUUAUCUGCAUGGAAGAACAAAAUGUUCUGCUUGAUUUUAUUCCUCUUUUUUUCCCUAGGAUUGUGAGAAGGACUCCAGGCAGGGUAAUGUUUCUGUUUCAAUAAGGAAUGUUGUAAUAUAUGACAAGUAAGCUUCCUUUUAAUGCUGAGAAUUAGGGUUUUACACUUCUUUAUAUCUCUUCCAGACUCCUGCAAAUUUGGCAAGGCAGCUGUCACCUUGAACCCUUAUUCCAGACCUCUCGAGAUGCCCAAGGGUAGAGACAGAACUCAGUUUUCUCAAAAUGUUUCAAGGGAACAAUUCUUAGUUCUUUCCCCGAUCUUCCGCUCUUUACCUGGAUUUUAUUCCAUACUCAUUUUCUCCAGUUUGUUGAUAAGCAAAUAAUGGUAAUACAUUUUAAAUACACACUAAAUAAACCACAUAAAAGCACAAAAUAACUCACCUUUAUGGCCUAAGCAUGAAGGAACAGUGCAGAUGAAGGUGAUGGAAGGAGACAUGUGAGAAAAGGACAUGGGAACUGAAUGUGCCCAUGUUACCUCAGGAGUUAACCUGCACUGAGUUAAAUAACCUUCCUCUUUCUUCACCUUGCUCUCCUUUUCAAAGUGUUGUUUAAUGUAAUGAAACACCUUCUCUUUCUCAAAUGACUUUUGGUAAAAUGAAUCUUUUGAUUUAAUAGUGUUGAAUAAGAAUUGCAAGCCUCAGAGAGAAGAGAAAAUGAGGGCUGCUUCACACAGUGGACAACAACCAGUCUUUACUCAGCAAGCAUCAACACUGCCAGUCUCUGUGACUCAGCGAUGGAAAGAAAGAGUUCCUGCUUCUCUGAGAGCUCCUAGUCCAAUGAUUUGGGAAGCACUUGUUUAGGACAUGGGUGAAGAGAAGAGUUUUGAGCAGAAGAAAGUGUGCUACUUCUUUU